GCAGCCGUGGCCUACUGGUUAGGGCUUCGGGGCUUGUAACCGAAGGGUUGCCGGUUCGAUCCCCGACCCGGUGGGA
Molecule: transfer RNA, 76 nt
Filed under: Alosa alosa (allis shad)
Lineage: Eukaryota; Metazoa; Chordata; Actinopteri; Clupeiformes; Clupeidae
Description: tRNA-OTHER
Source: RNAcentral